AGUGGCGGACGGGUGAGUAAUGUCUGGGAAACUGCCUGAUGGAGGGGGAUAACUACUGGAAACGGUAGCUAAUACCGCAUAAUGUCGCAAGACCAAAGAGGGGGACCUUCGGGCCUCUUGCCAUCGGAUGUGCCCAGAUGGGAUUAGCUUGUUGGUGGGGUAACGGCUCACCUAGGCGACGAUCCCUAGCUGGUCUGAGAGGAUGACCAGCCACACUGGAACUGAGACACGGUCCAGACUCCUACGGGAGGCAGCAGUGGGGAAUAUUGCACAAUGGGCGCAAGCCUGAUGCAGCCAUGCCGCGUGUAUGAAGAAGGCCUUCGGGUUGUAAAGUACUUUCAGCGGGGAGGAAGGGAGUAAAGUUAAUACCUUUGCUCAUUGACGUUACCCGCAGAAGAAGCACCGGCUAACUCCGUGCCAGCAGCCGCGGUAAUACGGAGGGUGCAAGCGUUAAUCGGAAUUACUGGGCGUAAAGCGCACGCAGGCGGUUUGUUAAGUCAGAUGUGAAAUCCCCGGGCUCAACCUGGGAACUGCAUCUGAUACUGGCAAGCUUGAGUCUCGUAGAGGGGGGUAGAAUUCCAGGUGUAGCGGUGAAAUGCGUAGAGAUCUGGAGGAAUACCGGUGG
This 625-nucleotide ribosomal RNA is filed under the name Shigella boydii. RNAcentral describes it as "bacterial SSU rRNA". It matches the Rfam family "Bacterial small subunit ribosomal RNA", at positions 94 to 715 of the family's 1533-position model. Lineage: Bacteria; Pseudomonadati; Pseudomonadota; Gammaproteobacteria; Enterobacterales; Enterobacteriaceae. The record is from RNAcentral.